AGGGGCGGGGGAAGUUUAGGAGUUGAGGAAAGAAGAUUAAAGAGCGCGAGGAGAUCUCACAGACCAGUGGAAUAAAGGCCUUUUGCAUAUGAGGAUCAGGUGACAAGUUAACUGGCUACCAACCUCCAAAGCAAUUCGCCCUUUCAUGUCACACAAAAAGAAGUGUUAAGGAUUGCCCUUUGAGACACUGAAGGCUAAAGCAAGUGAGGUAUUUUACAUAUCUCCAUAUCCCACAGUGAUCCUACAAUGAGAACUUACCAUCAUUUUGCUAAUGAUGAGCCUGAAGAUCAGGGAUGUAAAACUGCCUGAAGUUACAUUUAGAGACUGAAAUCACUGCACCUUAAAAACAAAAGAUUGAGCUGCACUGCAUUCCUCAGGAGAAUGUAUCCCCCAAUAUUGGAAUAGGACGUAUCACAGGGGAACUUCUAAUUCCAUUGCUCUCAUCAUCAACCAGUGAUUUGUUACCAUUUCUUUGGGGUAUAGACCAGUCAAUUGAGGACUCUCCUUAUUGUGGGAAGCCCUUUUUCAUGGGGACCUGCAAAUAUAACAUAAGGGGAAACCAAACCAUCUGCAAGGACCAAACCAUGCAAAGCAGAUCAAUACAAGAUUCUCCUUUUUCAUCGGAAUGUUUCACCGUCACUAACUGGAUAUUCCUCGCAACAUUGCUGUCUGAUUCUUUUCCCACAUAUUUUAUCACAGAACAUUGUGUAGAGUUCCCCGUGCUAUAUAGCAAGUCCUUGUCAGCCAAUCAUCCAUAUACCACAGUGCGUAUAUGCCAAUCCCGAACCCCUAAUCCAUCCCUCCCUCUCCCAGUUGUCCCCGUUGGCAAACAUAAUGUUGUUUUCAAGUCUGUGAGUCUGUUUCUGUUCUGCAAAUAAGUUCAUUUGUAUCCUUUUUUAAUUUCAAUUUUUAUUUUUGUCUUUUUAGGGCCACACCCACAGCAUACGGAGGUUCCCAGGCUAGGGGUUGAAUCAGAGCAGUAGCUGCUGGCCUAUGCCACAGUCACCCAAUGCCAGGUCUGAACCGCGUCUGUGACCUACACCAUAGCUCAUGGCAAUGUCAGGUCCUUAACCCACUGAGCGAGGCCAGGGAUCAGACCUGCUAGAUGCUAGCCAGAUUCGUUUCCACUGAGCCACGAUGGGAACUCCUGUAUCUGUUUUUUAGAUUCCACAUAUAAGUGAUAUCAUAUGAUGUUUGGCAUUACAUUUUAAAUAAUUCAGCAUAAUUGAACCAUUUAAUGACAGAAUUUCAGGAAGCUUUCUUUUACUCAAAGUCCCUCCUUUUGAAAUUAUCAAUUCAAUACAACUUAAAGCAUACACAAGAAGUAAUGAUUCUGCAAAGUAUACCUGAAGACUACUGACUUUAGAAUUAUCCACCUAAACCCUUAAGUAGAUAUCUCUUAAAAUCGCUGACAAAAUACCACCCAUACCUUCAGUGUGGAGGUGAAAGAAGUAUUGACAACAUCUGCUAGCGGAUUGAAGAGUUUGUUACGUAGCAAUGGUGAUGCUUUCUUGAUGUCCUUAAACUUUUUC
RNAcentral lists this long non-coding RNA (1532 nucleotides) under Sus scrofa (pig). Its description in RNAcentral is "lncRNA (ENSSSCG00025077722.1)". Lineage: Eukaryota; Metazoa; Chordata; Mammalia; Artiodactyla; Suidae. The record is from RNAcentral.